RNAcentral lists this ribosomal RNA (279 nucleotides) under uncultured bacterium. RNAcentral's name for it is "partial 16S ribosomal RNA". It matches the Rfam family "Bacterial small subunit ribosomal RNA", at positions 506 to 784 of the family's 1533-position model. The record is from RNAcentral.
UGCCAGCCGCCGCGGUAAUACCGAGGGCUCGAGCGUUAAUCGGAAUCACUGGGCUUAAAGCGUGCGUAGGCGGACCCGUAAGCAUCAUGUGAAAUCCCACGGCUCAACCGUGGAACUGCAUGGUGAACUACGGGUCUUGAGGUCGGUAGAGGUUGUCGGAACUCUAGGUGGAGCGGUGAAAUGCGUAGAUAUCUAGAGGAACGCCUAAGGUGAAGACAGGCAACUGGGCCGAUCCUGACGCUGAGGCACGAAAGCGUGGGUAGCGAACGGGAUUAGAUA